Molecule: ribosomal RNA, 252 nt
Filed under: uncultured bacterium
Lineage: Bacteria
Description: partial 16S ribosomal RNA
Rfam family: Bacterial small subunit ribosomal RNA
Source: RNAcentral
UACGUAGGGGGCGAGCGUUGUCCGGAGUACUGGGCGUAAAGCGCACGCAGGCGGUCUGCUAAGUUUGGAGUGACAGUUGGUGGCUUAACUGCCAAAGUGCUUCGAAAACUGACAGACUUGAGGGCUUCAGAGGGACACGGAAUUCCGGGUGGAGUGGUGAAAUGCGCAGAUAUCAGGAAGAACACCGAUGGCGAAGGCAGAUCUCUGGGCCGUAACUGACGCUGAGAAGCGAAAGCAUGGGGAGCGAACAGG